Kogia breviceps (pygmy sperm whale) is the source of this 2886-nucleotide non-coding RNA. NCBI's taxonomy places the organism in Eukaryota, Metazoa, Chordata, Mammalia, Artiodactyla, Physeteridae. The record is from RefSeq and is a predicted model, not a curated record.
GGUCUGAGGAGCGCUCGUAGGAAGGAAUUUGACACGGCCGGGCAAACCCUACUCAAUUGGAGUAGGACUUGAGUUGGAAACUGCAGUCUCACUGCCUAUUAGUGGGAAAAACAUAUUUCUAGAGUGCUUCCGCCCGCCGCCAGCCAUGGGCUGGGACUACAAGUCCAGGCCGGCCGGAGUCCAGGAGUGGGGGCGGGGGAGGGCGGCGGUGGGAAGAGAGGCAUGCUGGGAACUGUAGUAGUGUCAUCUCCACGUUCGCCGCAGAUCAGAUUGGUCAGGCAAUUUGGUUAAAAUAGGAAAUGUCAGUGGUAGGCCCCUUUUCCCAGAUGAAUGUUUAGAAACACCAUGGAAUUUAGUGAUAAACUUGAACAAAACAGAAAUAACCACUUCCAGAUGUGCCCUUCCAAAUGUCUUCCUAUGCAUUUAUAUACAGAUACUGAGACUGCAUUGGAGAAAACAGACACAUGGAAUUUAUAACCUAACCAGGAGGAUAGACACUAAACAAAUAAUUAUGCAUCCUCUCUAGGCUCUGAUUCAGAACCUGGUGACUCAAAGCAGCAGGGAUGACGCAGAAUCCGUUCAGACCACGGCCCAGCAGUGAUGGCAGCUGCAUCCGGUUUCCAGUGGCAGCAGAGACAGCUGUUCUGGAGCAGUGUGCAGUGUCCAGCAUCUGAGGACUUGGCAGUGCAAGCCAUGCAGUCAUUCAGUGCUUGGCAGCUGUGGUGAUGACUUCACAGGACCAGCUCUGCAGAGUUCUUUGGGUGUGGUUCUUGCCCUGUGGUUUGUCUUCCCACCUUUACUUCUUAAAUUAGCUUAAAAGUUGAAUUAAUUUACUGGCAACAAGUGCUAAUGAUGUUAACAAUAACUAACUCUUAGAUAGAUAUUAACACUAACUAACUUUAGAUAGUACUUAUUAUGUGCCAAGCAAAUUUCAAAGUGUUUUAUGUAUAUUAAUUCAUUUAAUAUUUACAACAACCCUAUGACACAUAUACUGGUAUUAUUCCCAUUUUACAGAUGAUGAAACUGAGUUGCAGAGAGGAUAGGUUACGUGUUCAAUGUCACACGACUGUAAAUCGCGGCUCUGAAACUCAAACCCAGAUACAGUUCUAGGAGUGAAGUGCUUGGUCAAAGGGUAUUUUGAUUGCCUUCCAGAAAUAUCAUUCCAGUUUACACAUGCAGCAGUGUAUGGGAGCAUCCUGUUUCCCUGGGUCCUUAUUAGCACUGAAUAUUAUCAUUAAAUUUUUAAAACUUGUGGUACUGAAAAUGAUACAUAGUUUUCUUUUAAACCCAAAAUUCUUUAAACAUUUAAUAAUACAUUUAUUGGUAUUUGUUUAAAGUUCCUUUUGUGAAUUGACUGCCUUUGUCACCUAUGGGAUAAAGUUGAAACUUAGAAGGCAAUUCAAGGCCUUUUCUACUCUGACGGUAACUACUUUUCUAACUAAUUCUCUGAAACAUUCCCCCAACACACCAGUGGGGAUUAUUUUGUAUUAGUUGGAGCCAUAUGAAUGUGCUAUUUUUGUAGGCCAAAAAGUGGUUGACUGUUGACAGUUUUAUAUGGUUAAACCUUAUAAAUUUCCAAAACAUUUGCUCUCCCACUAGAGUGUUUUCACAAAUGUCCUUUGUCUUUCUCUGCUUGGUGAAAUCCUUCAUGUUCUUUAUGAGUCUGAGUUCACUGGUCACGUUCCCUAUUCCUUUGCCAUCCAUAUCCUGUCCUUUCACGCUGGCUGAGAUUACUGUAAAUCACCCCUCUUCAUUAUUUCCACUCUGCUCCUUUACUAUCAAAGCUGUAGAAUGGUCCCAGGGUAUUGCAGCUGGAUAAUAUGUUUGCAUCUGCCUGAGAGGCCAAGGCCUCUGCUGCUUUUUGCCAGCAGAGACUGUGUAUUAUUUAUUUUGGCAGCCACAAAGCUACCAAAGUUUGGGGCUCAUAGCAGAUGCACAACAAAUAUCUGUUGACUUGAAGAACGAGUAACAUUAGGGCCCAGGAAUUGCCUUACUAGCCACGUAUUAAUUGCAGUUUCCUUCCAUGCUAAGUAAGGAAGAGCAUGUGUAACACCCUCUAACAUCUUCUAAUAUGGUUGGUUGGUAUUGUGUAUGGAAUUGGUCCUCCUUAGUUUGAAUCCUCCAUCCUUAUAAUUUUUUUCCUAUAUUUUCAGGUGUGGUCAUUGUAUUGCAAAUCAAUGCAAUUAAUUUAUUCCACAGCACAAUUCUCAAGGAUGAAAUAACACAAUUCUCUUACUAGCUAAAUAAGUAAUCAGUGUACUUCCAAGGAAUAAAUUUUAUUUUUUCCCUUUUAACCAUAUUCACCUUUUUUCUUGGGUGAACUUUCAGGAACUUUUAGUGACUUCCAGGAAAUACUAAUGCUAAUGCUAAAGUUAUAAUAUUAUGACAAGAUUCAGGAAUCAUUAAAAGUAAAAAUGUUUUUAAAUAAACAUUAAAAAUCUUUAAACUGAAUCUUAUUAAGACAAAGUCUCUGUUUAUAAAAGAGAUACAUAGCACAGUCAAUUAAAAUUGCACUUACAGGGAGAAAAUCAUGGAAUCAUAGAACUUUAAAGGUAAAGAAUAUCCCCAACGUUCUCAGUGUGUACUCUUUGGUGGAAGAAUACCAAGUGAGAGUGGAGGAGAGAAGGUAGAGUUCAGCUUUGACUCCAUAUUCCCCCACUCAGUUAACUUUCAAGUGAUGUUUCAACCUUUUCUCAUCUUCUCACAUCUACAUGUCCUGCCCUCACCAUGGCUUGAAUAAGUUCAAGUAGAAACAGUGUCGGGAUUUCCCUGGUGGUCCAGUGGGUAAGACUUCGUGCUUCCAAUUCAGGGCGCCAGGGGUCGAUCCCUGGUCAGGGAACUAGAUCCCGCAUGCAUGUUGUAACUAAGAAGUCCACGUGCCAUAAC